ACUGAGUGGCGGACGGGUGAGUAACGCGUGGGUAACCUGCCUUGUACAGGGGGAUAACAGUUGGAAACGGCUGCUAAUACCGCAUAAGCGCACAGCAUCACAUGUUGCAGUGUGAAAAACUCCGGUGGUAUAAGAUGGACUCGCGUCUGAUUAGCUAGUUGGCGGGGUAACGGCCUACCAAGGCGACGAUCAGUAGCCGACCUGAGAGGAUGUCCGGCCACAUUGGGACUGAGACACGGCCCAGACUCCUACGGGAGGCAGCAGUGGGGAAUAUUGCACAAUGGAGGAAACCCUGAUGCAGCGACGCCGCGUGAGCGAAGAAGUAUUUCGGUAUGUAAAGCUCUAUCAGCAGGGAAGAUAAUGACGGUACCUGACUAAGAAGCACCGGCUAAAUACGUGCCAGCAGCCGCGGUAAUACGUAUGGUGCAAGCGUUAUCCGGAUUUACUGGGUGUAAAGGGAGCGCAGGCGGCGAGGCAAGUCUGAUGUGAAAACCCGGGGCUCAACCCCGGGACUGCAUUGGAAACUGUCAUGCUAGAGUGCCGGAGGGGUAAGCGGAAUUCCUAGUGUAGCGGUGAAAUGCGUAGAUAUUAGGAGGAACACCAGUGGCGAAGGCGGCUCACUGGACGGUAACUGACGCUGAGGCUCGAAAGCGUGGGGAGCAAACAGGAUUAGAUACCCUGGUAGUCCACGCGGUAAACGAUGAAUACUAGAUGUCGGGCGCCAUAGCUCUCGGUGUCCUCGCAAACGCAAUAAGUAUUUCCCCCGGGGAGUACGCUGGCAAGGAUGGAACUUAAAGGAAUUGACGGGGACCCGCGCAAACGGUCGAGCUUUUGGUUUAAUUUGGAGCUACGCGAAGAACCAUACCUGUUCUCUCCAUCCCAUUCGAUAGAUCGGAAUUUCUCCCGCCCUUCGGGGGUACGGAGACCGGCGGUCCAUGGGUGUUGUCACCUUGUGUCGGUAGCAAUUUGGCUAAUUCCCCUAACGGGUCGAACCCGUAUUGUCACUAGGCAGCAGGUGAAGCUGGGCACUCUGAUGAGACUGCCGGGGAUAACCUGGAGGAAGGUGGGGAUGACGUCAAAUCAUCAUGCCCCUUAUGAGCAUGGGCUACACACGCGCUACAAUGGCGUAAACAUAGGGAAGCGCAGGAGUGAUCACGAGCAAAUCUCAAAAAUAUGUCUCAGUUAGGAUCGUAGUAUGCAACUCGGCUACAUGAAGCAGGAAUCGCUAGUAAUCGCAGAUCAGAAUGAAGCGGUGAACAAGUUCCCGGCUCUUGUAAACACCGCCCGUCA
Molecule: ribosomal RNA, 1290 nt
Filed under: uncultured bacterium
Lineage: Bacteria
Description: partial 16S ribosomal RNA
Rfam family: Bacterial small subunit ribosomal RNA
Source: RNAcentral